GUGCUUGCUUUGGCAGCACAUAUACUAAAAUUGGAACGAUACAGAGAAGAUUAGCAUGGCCCCUGCACAAGGAUGACACGCAGAUUCGUGAAGCGUUCCAUAUUUUU
Molecule: small nuclear RNA, 107 nt
Organism: Heterocephalus glaber (naked mole-rat)
Lineage: Eukaryota; Metazoa; Chordata; Mammalia; Rodentia; Bathyergidae
Source: Ensembl